RNAcentral lists this ribosomal RNA (866 nucleotides) under uncultured bacterium. RNAcentral describes it as "bacterial SSU rRNA". It matches the Rfam family "Bacterial small subunit ribosomal RNA", at positions 32 to 896 of the family's 1533-position model. The record is from RNAcentral.
UCCGGUGGCCGGGCAGGCUUAACACAUGCAAGUCGAACGAAGAGGUCUAGCUUGCUAGCACUGAUUAGUGGCGAACGGGUGAGUAACAUUUAGGAAUCUACCUUAUAGAGGGGGAUAGCUCGGGGAAACUCGAAUUAAUACCGCAUACGACCUACGGGUGAAAGGGGGCGCAAGCUCUUGCUAUAAGAUGAGCCUAAACCAGAUUAGCUAGUUGGUGGGGUAAAGGCCUACCAAGGCGACGAUCUGUAGCUGGUCUGAGAGGAUGAUCAGCCACACUGGGACUGAGACACGGCCCAGACUCCUACGGGAGGCAGCAGUGGGGAAUAUUGGACAAUGGGCGAAAGCCUGAUCCAGCCAUGCCGCGUGUGUGAAGAAGGCCUUACGGUUGUAAAGCACUUUAAGUGGGGGGGAAAAGCUUAUGGAUAACACCCAUAGGUUCUGACGUUACCCACAGAAUAAGCACCGGCUAACUCUGUGCCAGCAGCCGCGGUAAUACAGAGGGUGCAAGCGUUAAUCGGAAUUACUGGGCGUAAAGCGAGCGUAGGUGGUUUAUUAAGUCAGAUGUGAAAUCCCUGGGCUUAACCUAGGAACUGCAUCUGAUACUGAUAAACUAGAGUAGGUGAGAGGAAAGUAGAAUUCCAGGUGUAGCGGUGAAAUGCGUAGAGAUCUGGAGGAAUACCGAUGGCGAAGGCAGCUUUCUGGCAUCAUACUGACACUGAGGUUCGAAAGCGUGGGUAGCAAACAGGAUUAGAUACCCUGGUAGUCCACGCCGUAAACGAUGUCUACCAGUCGUUGGGUCUUUUAAAGGCUUAGUGACGCAGUUAACGCGAUAAGUAGACCGCCUGGGGAGUACGGCCGCAAGGUUA